GGGGGUAGGGGGUGCUGUGGGGUUUGAGAUCCGAGCCCUGCCGCCAUGCCCGGCCAUUCGGGCCGUCGCUGCCGCCUGUUCUGGCUGCUGGCGAGUUGCCUGUGUGCCGCCUUCCUGUGCCUGCGGAGUGAGCUGGCCACUCAGCCCGAAGAGGAGCCUAGCCCCCUGCCCGUGCUGCAGCUCUCGCUGGCUUUCCUGCUCUGUUACUCUCUGAUUAAAUCCUGGUGCCCAGUUUGUCCUCACCAACCGUGCCCUGUGAGGGCACCCUCGGCCCAUGUCGCCAGGAAAGUUGUCCUGGAGAGUUACUAUGAGCACCAGCUGAGAAUAUCCCCCCAUGUGCUGGGCCAUAGCCGGGCCCAUGUCCGUCAGGUUGUCACUGAGCUGCUCAGGGUAGGCAAGUGUGAACAGGAAGGGAGCACUUUGGCAUUCCGCGGAGAUUUCCUACAGAUUGGCAGCACCUAUGAACAACAUCAGACCAACAGCCUGGACUGCUUCGACCUCCUGGUACCCAUCAAAGUGCCCCAAGCCCUACAGCUGGAACCCACCUUCCACAUAGGCCCCCAGUCCUCUCUGGAGGGCACUGCCAUCUGCAGAGUGAAGCCAUGCAUCAAGCCGGAGUGGGCACGGUGCCAGAGGGAGUUUACUGAGAGUUUCUGUGUCCGCUUUGGGAAGCAGCGUGCCCUGUCCUCUGCCCAGGUCCUCAGGUGGUUCCACAGCAAGGUGCUCCGCUGCCUGAAUGUGAUCCGCUUCCAUUGUGAACAGCGCUGUUCCAUCAGCCUGGCGCCUCUCAAAGACCAGCUCAUCCUCAAACUGCUGCCCAGGGCUGACUAUGUUUGCUGCCACAUUUCAUUGUCGGUGAGGCUGAUCCCAGCCCUGCAUGUGGGGGAUUCCAUCUUCCUGGUGGCCCAGCCUUGCUGCAGGAGUCAACUGCUGUUACCUGCUCUCAGCCCGGGCACCCUCUGGGCUGUUUACCUCUCCAAACACGAGCGCAAGUUUCUCAACUGGCUCAAAGUGCAAACGCCAAACAAUUCCUGCCACUUGAAGUGUCUGCAGAUUAUGAAGGCACUCCGGGACCUGGGCUGCAGAGAGUUUGACCAACAAUUCUCUGUUCAGUGGAACACAAUCCUGUGUUCCUACAACAUGAAAACAGCGCUCUUCCACCUGCUUCUGAAAGGUCCCCUGGCUGCAUGGGAUGACAGAUUCCUCAUGGACAGACUGGAGGACUUGGUCCUGUUUUGGAGGGAGCGGUUACAGAAACAGGAACUGAUGCAUUUUUUCCUCGGGAAUAAAAACGUUCCGGAUUUUCUGACGGUGCCUAGGAAGAUUAAGGAAGUGCUGCCCGUGAACUUGCUGGCAGGUUUUGAUGCUGCUCUCUUGGACCUGGUCUCCUUUCAGCUCCUGAAAACGUGGAAUUGUGCUCAUCUCAUCAUGAAGCUCAACAAUCAUAAACACUUUGCAAGAAAUUGCUAACAGAUGCUCAAAGCUGAAACUGCCUCCAACUUAACAAAUGUCAAACCGUUUCUGCUGCUUCUGUCUGCUCGAUGCUGCCAGAUCUGCUGAGUUUCACCCGCAAUUUCUGUUUGGUUUCAGAUCUUCAACAUCAACAGUUCUUUGUUUUAUUUUAGCUAUGAGACAUUGGUUAAUUAGACAGAAAUGUGCACAACCUGCGAUAGUGGAGGAUGCUUGAUAUAUCAGAGGACACGAGGAAUGUGUCGCCCUUGUUAAAGUUGCAAAUACAGCAACCUGCUCUCCAUCCAAAGUGUUAAAGUCUUUCGUCAAUCCUUUCUGAUACAUCUUCCAUCUGAAGAAGACAGCUCCCUGAUGAAGGCUGUGCUCCUGACUCUGAGCACAUGUUGAUAAGCCCUACGUUUGGCAAUUGACACUGUGUCAAUCACCUGUUUUAAUCCUUAAAUCAAUGAGUGUCUGAAUAACUGAUGUCCCUUUGCCCAUCUUCAUUCAAAGGUUAGUUUUAAUUGGUAUUGGGGAGAAAUAUUUUUGCGAAACACUGCAUUGCUUAUAGAGUUACAUGUGUCAGAUUAUUAUUUGAUGACCACUUUUGGAAUACAGUGGACCUGGUGGUUUUGUUGGCACCUUGUUUUGUUGUUGUUUAUUAGAAAUUGUUUCUGUUUGCAGAAAGGAAGGAAGUGCUGAGGCAGCCGUUAUAUGAAGUCUCAUGCUGCACAGGAAAUACUAGAAUGGUUCAGUUUUAAAAUGAUCCCAAUUUCUGAUAAUGGGCAAUUUUCUUCAGCAAGGGAAACAUUUUGACUUAAUUUGUACAUGAAACAGAUCCUAGCCUCAUGGAAUGUCCAGCUGAACAGAUAAAAGUCCUUUUAUCUUCUGUUACUUUUUACAGUAAAAUAUAGGAACAAUCAGUUGCUAAACAGCUUUGUGUAGCUAGGAUGAUUGGCAUAUUCCUUGCUAAAAAUAGAUGGAUAACUCCAUGCACUAAGGUAGUCAGAAGAGUAAAGGCUGGGUACUGGCAGGUAGUGCCGAUGGAGAUUUCUAUCAGAUCGGCUGAGACUGUGGAAUGAUUUGUAAAACAAGACAGUGACUCCCUUUGAAUUCAGAAACCCAAUGGAAGUCGAGAGAGUCUGUAGGCUAGAAGCAAGACUUUCUACGGGAUAGAACGAAAGUAUCAGAGUUUUGAGAGAUUUUAAAUUUAUUGAGGCCAGAACUGAAGCCUCAAAAUGGUGAAAGAAGUUUGGCCAGUGGAAGGAGAAGCUUCUUGGUCAGGAUUGCCUGCUCCCAUGCUGCUACAAUGCUGUCAGAGGUGCAAAUGGGCACUUUUAAUCACAGGUGGUUUCUGAUAAUUGUGAACAAUCCAGUUCGGCCUGGAUUAGCAUCUGAGCUGCAAUUUGGAAUCAGGAGUCAAGUGUAGCAAUGAUAGUGGAGCUUAGAAAUCCUUUUUGUAGCUUCAAUCUUAAACCUAUGUUGGAGAAAAUUUAUUGUAUAUCUAUCACUUGAAUAAAUAUCCAUAGAGUAGAUUGGUGAGAAUGUAGAGCUGGGCAUCAUUGUCAUGAAUCUGCAAACUUGUUAGGUAGCUCUGGAAGUUGCUACUGAACAGCAGUGAGUAACAGAGUAAAAGGACUGAGCUAAGGCUGCUCCCAAGAACAUCCAGACAAUUUAAAAGAAUUUUGGAAACCCAAUAUCCAUUAAAAGGAGAGAAACUGCUUAAAUAUAGUGAAGAAUAUUUCUAUUACAGGAUUGAGAAAACUCGCUGUCUGAGUCAGGUGAUGCUAAAACAUUCAAUUUAGAAUUAUUGAAAGCCUUCCAAUUGUGUGGAAAGCUUUCAAUAAUUCCACUGUUCGCAGUUUUUGAUUUCAUGCACCCUCCUGAGUUAAUAAUUAUUUACUUUGUAAGUAGAUGAUGUAUAAUAUCAAUUCGAAGCUGCAAUAUGGGUUCUCAGUACGUGUUCUGUUUUAUAAAACAGGAUUGUACAGGAGGAACUGAGACCAAUGAUGCAUCAACUUAGGCAUUUCUGGUUUGGUGAAAUAAGCCAAAUGUGCUCCUAGUACAGACAACCCCAUUUCAUUAACUAAAGAAUACUUCUCCUUUUAAUAUUUCUACACUUCCAUAUUUUACAAGAGA
Molecule: RNA transcript, 3588 nt
Organism: Rhincodon typus (whale shark)
Lineage: Eukaryota; Metazoa; Chordata; Chondrichthyes; Orectolobiformes; Rhincodontidae
Gene name: ITPRIP like 2
Exons: 2
Source: RefSeq, a predicted model, not a curated record